This 253-nucleotide ribosomal RNA is filed under the name uncultured bacterium. RNAcentral's name for it is "partial 16S ribosomal RNA". It matches the Rfam family "Bacterial small subunit ribosomal RNA", at positions 524 to 776 of the family's 1533-position model. The record is from RNAcentral.
UACGAAGGGGGCUAGCGUUGCUCGGAAUUACUGGGCGUAAAGGGAGCGUAGGCGGACAUUUAAGUCAGGGGUGAAAUCCCGAGGCUCAACCUCGGAACUGCCUUUGAUACUGGGUGUCUUGAGUGUGAUAGAGGUAUGUGGAACUCCGAGUGUAGAGGUGAAAUUCGUAGAUAUUCGGAAGAACACCAGUGGCGAAGGCGACAUACUGGAUCAUUACUGACGCUGAGGCUCGAAAGCGUGGGGAGCAAACAGG